Non-coding RNA from Paramuricea clavata, 2353 nucleotides. Lineage: Eukaryota; Metazoa; Cnidaria; Anthozoa; Malacalcyonacea; Plexauridae. The record is from the annotation of a GenBank genome assembly.
CCGACGGCGUUUCUGAAAACAAACCAACACAUUCAACAAUUACGUGUUGUAACGUACACAUUCAACCGUCGUCGUGUCAUUUACGACGUUUCAAUCUUGCCCAUUACAUUGUAAUGAUUUUACUGUCCUGGCCUUACGAAUUAGACGAUAAAAAUAACCACAAAAUCAGCAAUGGGGUAUGUUCUGCAAUGAAUCACGUGGUCUCGACAGAAUUAUCGAACAUGGAUGAGGUAUUGGAAGAUGAAGUGGUCAAUGUUAGAAACCGUUUCUCAAAAACACAACUCGCCAUACGGUAAACCUUCGCACAAGAGGAAAGAUCGGUGUAAGAGGACAGCAGAUUGUGGUUAACUUCAGAAAUAUGAGUGAGCUUUAGUGGGAUAAUUCAGUGACUGAUCCUGAGCUUAAAGGCACAAUUCAGCCUUUUGAAUGAUGGUUUUUAAGGCGCAUUUCAGCCCUUUUAAUUGAAAAAACUAACUAGGAAAAUCAAUUACGCAUUAUUCAAGAUCAGCAAACUUACUGUUCUUAACAUUUUAAAACAUUUUUAUUGUAAACAUUAAGUUUACUGAUUUUGAAUUAUGUAUAAUUGAUUUUCCUAGUUGGUUUAACAGGGCUGAAAUGCGCCUUAGCAAGCGAUGUUUUUGUCAACAUGGACCGUCAUCCGAAAAUUGGUAUGCUAAUUUUGGAGGCAUUUUGCAUCAUAGCGCUCGGUUAAGGAAGCAAAAAACUUCAAAAAUCUUGCAUUUUAUCAGAUCAUAGUCUAUCAAGAUAGGAUGGUCUGGAAACUAAACACAAGUCAUUGUAUUAUGUUUUUGUCGGAGUUUAUGUUAAUUUGUGCACAGUCACGGUGAUUGAGCUCAUUGUAUUUUCGUAUAAUGAAGUAAUCAUUCAAAAGGGAUAGCUGAGAUGAAACGUGCAACCACAAUGAAUAUUUAAUGAAGUUGAGACAAAGGAUUUGUGCAUGGUGAGAUAUAGUUCAACAUCAAACAAAGGUCUUCUAUUUUGUAGCUUUGAAGUUUGCCGGGUUUCCAGACCAUCAUAUCUUGACUGAAGCCCCGUUUACAUUACGCUCAAUUUUUGGUACGGCACGGAUAAAAUUGGUACCCGUACCACUUUUUUGGUUCUGGGACUGCCUAUUUAGGUAGUCCAAGAACCAAAAAGUGGUACGGUACCAAAAAUUGAGCGUAGUGUAAACGGGGCUUAGCUAAAUAGGUAGUCCAAGAACCAAAAAAGUGGUACGGGUACCAAUUCUAUCCGUGCCGUACCAAAAAUUGAGCGUAGUGUAAACGGGGCUUGACUCUGUCUACGGUCACAUGUGUUGAAGAUUACCACAAACUGAUACAAACACAGUUUUUAAUCCAGUCCCCGCUCGGCAAUCUGACGUCCGUGUCACAGAAUAGGAAGGUAUAGCAGAAGCGUAACUCAAGCAAGUAUUUGUCCGCGUUUUUACAAGCGAUUCGUCAUCAAUCACGCCAUCCUGGCUAGUACAACCGGCACUUUGUACCUACCAAAACCUGAUAAAAACUUCCGGUUGUACUAGCCAGGAUGACGUGGAUUGGCGUGAGCGAGUUAAACUUUUCGUGGACGUCAAACAAUAAGGGAAACGACUAGAGUUACGCUUCUGCUAUAACUUCCUAUCUCUCUCCGCCGCAGAGGCUUUAGUUUUCUUAGGAUUUAAUAUUACGAUGAGAUACAUUUCACUACACUUUACAUGGCGGAUCUUGGAACACGAGCGUAGCCGCUGGGCGAAGGAGCGCAGGUGGCAAAGGGACUUCCUAUUCUGUGUCCGUGUUGACAAAAACGCAGUGUGACCAGAUUUGGUAAAAAGUCCUACUUUUGGUAAAAUUUCGUGAAUUUUCAAAAAAAUUUGGUAAUGAGUUUCUUUUGGUAAAAUCUGAAAGGUUUGAAUUAUUAAAAAUAGUUGGUAAAAAUGUGUGUUUUUUGUUUAAUAACGUGCUCAAAGUGAUUAACAGAAUUGCCAAGCCUAAGAAAUAAAGCCUUAUCAUUAGCAAAAACUGCAAUACGAUGACACUUUUUGUGAAUAUUUUUUCUACUUUGAUGACGUAACUAUUGUUUUUUGGCAUUAUCAUGACGUAAUUAUUUGGGAAGCCGACAUUUGGUAAAUUUUUCCUUAAUUUAGUAAAAUUUGAACAAAAUUUUGGUAAUGACUGCUGAAAAAGUCUGGUCACACUGCAAAAACGUCGCUUGUUUGAGUUCGCUACUGAAAUUUAUACGGAUCAUAGAGAUUGCAAGGGGAAAGAAUAUUUUCUACUUUGUCAGAAACUAGACAGCUUGAAUAGUUCCUAUCACCAGUUUAUUUAUCAUGGAAGACAAAUUGAAUGUAAAGAAAUCUUAU